UACAGAGGUCUCAAGCGUUGUUCGGAUUCAUUGGGCGUAAAGGGUGUGUAGGUGGCGCCGUAAGUCGGGUGUGAAAUUUCGAGGCUUAACCUCGAAACUGCAUUCGAUACUGCGGUGCUUGAGGACUGGAGAGGAGAUUGGAAUUCAUGGUGUAGCAGUGAAAUGCGUAGAGAUCAUGAGGAAGACCAGUGGCGAAGGCGGGUCUCUGGACAGUUCCUGACACUGAGACACGAAGGCCAGGGGAGCAAACGGG
This 253-nucleotide ribosomal RNA is filed under the name uncultured bacterium. Its description in RNAcentral is "partial 16S ribosomal RNA". It matches the Rfam family "Bacterial small subunit ribosomal RNA", at positions 524 to 776 of the family's 1533-position model. The record is from RNAcentral.